GAUCCUUGUGUGAUAGGGCUUCCCCGUGGUGGGAACUCCAGGCCUUUUGCUCUAGGCUGAAGAUGUGAAGCAUGCCACUAGAAAGCUCAAAACUGAUGUAAUUCAGGCCUGGAGCAUCUUGUGAGAGUGGCUGCGCUGAAUUCCUUCCUACCAGGAUUUCUCUAAAGCACUCAGGAAUCCCAGGGCAGACAUACAUCUCCUCUCCCUUCGCUGCAUGGCUCACCAGCUGCGUGCCAAAACUUCCAAGGGAAAUACUCAGAAGAUGAAAACUCCUCAGCAGCAAAGCACCAAUUUCGCGUCAGGCAGUGUGUCAGCAAGAUGAGAGAAAACAACCCUUUAACCUCUUUAAGACCCCAAUGCCUGCUAGGCGUUCAGCUCAGCACUUCAGGCACGGCUUGUGUUUGUGGACACCAAGGUCAUGUUUUUAAAGACAGGCAUUCAAAUGGCACACAAAAAAUAUGCAGGCAGGGGUGCAAAGGGGGUAAUUGCGCGUACGAAACAUGCAGUUGCAAACACCCACCGGGUAAUUGUGUGCUCACAAGCAUUCAGCUGCACCUGCAGUUUCCUGGUUUCCCUUUUAGAACGACGUCUCUGUGCCCAGGCAUGCCUGCUUGGCGUGUUUCAUUUCUGCACUUGAAACCGUGGCCCAAAGCACCGCGUUGCUGUUUAGCACAGGUUUGAGCCGCUGAUUUCAAAGCUGCUCUAAUUAGUAACUUGCAGUUAGUGUACUCUACCAAUUCUCAGCCCACUGGGAUAUCACCAGGCUUUAUUGUUUCUUUCUGUCUUUGUGGAACUUCUGUAAAUCUUUUCUUUGAUAGCAGCUACGGUUUCAAAGCUGCCCACGUUUGAGCCAGAGGAGGCUAAUAAUGGUCUAAUUAAUGAAAGAUGUUUUCCUCUGCAUUGCUGUAUUUUAUCUCUUCCCCAAAGACUUGUCGGUGCAACCAAACCCCAGGCACCAGCCAGAUCCUUUCUUUUCCUCACAUAUUUGAGAAAUACACCGAUAUAUGGUGUGUAUCCCAUGCUGUUCUCACUUGAGUGUGUAAAUCUUGAAAAAUCUUCCCAAGUGUAGCUCGGAUUUAGGAAGCAGCUUUGUUAUUCCCAGCAGGUUUUCCUUCCAGCUAAGAUUUGUUUCUCUAGCUCAAACCACAAAGCCACUUUAACUCUCCCUAAAAGACUUCAGUCUGUGUAAGCUGCAG
Molecule: long non-coding RNA, 1196 nt
Filed under: Gallus gallus (chicken)
Lineage: Eukaryota; Metazoa; Chordata; Aves; Galliformes; Phasianidae
Description: long non-coding RNA NONGGAT003391
Source: RNAcentral